RNAcentral lists this ribosomal RNA (632 nucleotides) under Hippoglossus hippoglossus (Atlantic halibut). RNAcentral describes it as "partial 16S ribosomal RNA". The record is from RNAcentral. Lineage: Eukaryota; Metazoa; Chordata; Actinopteri; Pleuronectiformes; Pleuronectidae.
GUUGCCUGUGAAUUGAAUAGAAGUUCAGCCCCCUGGGUUCUCCACUCAUGCACUUUAUUAACCCUUCAGAUGCAAUGAGGAACCAGGGGUGUUAGUCAAAGGGGGUACAGCCCCUUUGAUACAAGACACAACUUUCUCAGUAGGAUAAAGAUCAUAAUAAAAUAAGGACAGAUGUUUUAGUGGGCCUAAAAGCAGCCACCUUAACAGAAAGCGUUAAAGCUCAAACAUGAAGCCCUCCCGUUAUACCGAUAACCCUAUCUUAAUCCCCCACAUUUAACAGGCCCUCCUAUGCAUCACAUAGGAACGACUAUGCUAAUAUGAGUAAUAAGAGGGUAUAACCACCCUCUCCUUGCACAUGUGUAAAUCGGAACGGACCCCCCACCGAAUCUUAACGGCCCCAAUCAAAGAGGGUAUUGGAAACUACCACAAAUUCAGGCCAGAAAAACAUCCAAUGAUAACCCGUUAACCCCACACUGGUGUGCCCAAAAGGAAAGACCGAAGGGGGGAGAAGGAACUCGGCAAACAUACCCCAAGCCUCGCCUGUUUACCAAAAACAUCGCCUCUUGCAUAACCACAGUAUAAGAGGUCCCGCCUGCCCAGUGACCAUAUAGUUCAACGGCCGCGGUAUUUUG